RNAcentral lists this unclassified non-coding RNA (269 nucleotides) under plant metagenome. Its description in RNAcentral is "partial contains small subunit ribosomal RNA, internal transcribed spacer 1, and 5.8S ribosomal RNA". The record is from RNAcentral.
UUUCUGUAGGUGAACCUGCGGAAGGAUCAUUAAUGAGUUGUCAUGGGGUUCGAUGCUGGCAGCCAAUUUUUGGAUGCAUGUGCUUGCCCUAACAAUCAUCUUCCAAACACCUGUGCACAUUUUUGAGGGAGUCUUGAGUUGGUUGCCGCUCUUGGGUGAUUUUCUCACAUUCCCUUAAAUCAUUAUACGCUAUUAACAAUGUUGAACGUGCUCUGUGCCGCAAGGCUAUUAAUAUAAUACAACUUUUAACAACGGAUCUCUUGGCUCUC